Molecule: non-coding RNA, 71 nt
Organism: Podarcis lilfordi (Lilford's wall lizard)
Lineage: Eukaryota; Metazoa; Chordata; Lepidosauria; Squamata; Lacertidae
Source: the annotation of a GenBank genome assembly
GGGCCAUAGCUCAGUGGUAGAGCAUCUGUCUUGCAAGCAGAAGGCCACAGUUUUAGUCCCCAGCAUCUCCA